This is a long non-coding RNA of Homo sapiens (human), 517 nucleotides long. RefSeq lists it as uncharacterized. The record is from RefSeq and is a predicted model, not a curated record. The transcript is spliced from 3 exons. NCBI's taxonomy places the organism in Eukaryota, Metazoa, Chordata, Mammalia, Primates, Hominidae.
CAGCCUCCCAAGUAGCUGGGAUUACAGGCUCUGGCCACCAUGCCCGGAUAAUUUAUGGUUUCUUUCUAAUUUGAGGUCUCUCUCCUGAAGUGGCUGACACAAUUGGAGAAACUGGUUAUUUACCAAGGCUUUGACUGGAAUGGCAUACUUUCAGAUACAAACAGACUCUUUUAAAGAAUCAAAGUUGACUUAUAAAGCCAAUAAAAGCUUCUUGGGAAAUUUGGCCCCAUACUUUGUCUAGGCAGUCCCUGCACAGGGUUUCUGGCCUAUGAGGCCUCACCCAUCUGCAAUGUCACUUCCUAGAUGGGAUGCAACUACAAAACUAAUCUACUCUCAAGAACUAGACAGGAUUAUGACUGCCUUCAUGAGUAUUCACAGUUCUUCCUGUAACCUGUUGAAUAUACACUUAGCCAAUCUUUCAUCACAACCAGUUACUAUUAGAAAUGGGGAGCAUGCCUUAUAAUUAAGACUAACUUCUGUGUAUACAUCCCAGGCAAUUUGGAAAAUGUCUCAGAUA